UUUAUAAAGGUAAGUUUGUCAGACGACACAAUCUGCUUCAACACUCCGCAGGACGCAGCCUCCGCUGUCGCCUCAGGCUCAGUUGACACCGUGACAAGGAUCCGCCCUUACAUACACCCGACGGCAUAGCAGCGGCAACACUAAUUGGAAAAUCGAACCCACCGAUCCGGCGAGAAACAUGCCUCCUCAGUCAUCAGGUUAUUUUUCAAAGAAUAGAGUUGAUGGGAAUGGGUGGAGUUGGCAAAAAAAUAUUGGGUCGUCGCCGAAUGGUGUCGAAUACGGAAGAACUUUUGUUUAACCUGGGACGUUGCCAAGGAGACCUUCUCGAAUGUGCCGCCGUCACACGAGUAGAGAAAGGAGGAGGAGAGUAUGGCAAGAUACUAAUGGCCACACAAUGGGUUUGAUCGUAGAAGUAUACUUUUGAACAUAUUUUAAAAGAUGCUGAAUCUUCUUUUAUUUAGAAGUAUAAUUUUGAACACAUCCCAAAUUUUUUUUUUUUAUUUUUAAGUUUCAUUUAUUUAUUUUUUCUGUCCACCAGAUAUUACUCCUGCUUAAUGGUUGAACUAGCUAUCAAAGAUAUUAACACCUUGUGGUGGCUUAUGGUAGGAGUGAUAGGUUGGGAUUUAUUUUUGUUUCUCAACCGACUGAAUUGGUAGCUUUCAUCGACUCAGCGAACAGUUCUUGAUAACCCUUAUUUUUGGGAUGAUGCGGAUAGAUCAUAGAAGCUGUUUCACGAGGAAAGUUUGGCACCUACACCAACUUGAUGAAACUACCUUUAAAGCUAUAAGAGACCCUUUACGUACCCCAGUAUUUCCAUCCCACAUAUGUGGACGAGUGGAAAAAUUUGUUAAAACAAAACACAGCAUUAAUAUAUUAAUGCAGGACAGUUAGCUGAAGGUUUUGGAACUCGUUUUGGACCGUCAAAAGGUCAAACGGGUGGGCUGAUCAGUUUUUAUCGGAUGAUUUCGAGGAAUCUUUUUUUUAACCCAGAAAGAGUCCAGUUUUAAAUUGCCUAACUUUCAGAUAUCGGCAGCGUAGAGUGUCUUUUGACAUAAUUCAAUCGUUUAAGGCUCGGGAAUGACAUUUUUUCAAUUUGGAAUAUUUCAGGAUUUUUGUUAUAAGUCUAAACGGAUUCGAUUUGCGUUCUUUUUUGGUAUUUAGUAGUUGUUUGUAAUUAGGUUUCUUUCCUUAUUUUUACAAUAGAACACGUUUAUUUUUGAGCAGUUUCCUUGCACCGCUAAUUUCUUUACGUUUUUUUUUUUUUUUUUUUUUUUUUUUUUUUUUUUUUUUUUUUUUGCUGUUACGAGUUUUAUUUAUAAAUACAUGUAUUGUAGAGCAGAUCAUUCAUUCAAUUAUUAAUAUAUUAUCAGAUUCUUUUGCGAAUU
This is a long non-coding RNA of Cornus florida, 1385 nucleotides long. RefSeq lists it as uncharacterized. The transcript is spliced from 5 exons. The record is from RefSeq and is a predicted model, not a curated record. Lineage: Eukaryota; Viridiplantae; Streptophyta; Magnoliopsida; Cornales; Cornaceae.